This 397-nucleotide ribosomal RNA is filed under the name uncultured bacterium. RNAcentral's name for it is "partial 16S ribosomal RNA". It matches the Rfam family "Bacterial small subunit ribosomal RNA", at positions 523 to 918 of the family's 1533-position model. The record is from RNAcentral.
AUACGGAGGAUCCAAGCGUUAUCCGGAUUUAUUGGGUGUAAAGGGCGUGUAGGCGGUCUUGCAAGUCAGAAGUGAAAUUCCCGGGCUUAACUUGGGCGCUGCUUCUGAAACUGCUUUACUUGAGUGCUGGAGAGGAUAGUGGAAUUCCUAGUGUAGCGGUAAAAUGCGCAGAUAUUAGGAGGAACACCGGUGGCGAAGGCGGCUAUCUGGACAGUAACUGACGCUGAGGCGCGAAAGCACGGGGAGCAAACAGGAUUAGAUACCCUGGUAGUCCGUGCCGUAAACGAUGAAUACUAGGUGUAGGGGGUAUCGACUCCCUCUGUGCCGCAGUUAACACAUUAAGUAUUCCACCUGGGGAGUACGGCCGCAAGGUUGAAACUCAAAUGAAUUGGCGGGG